This is a long non-coding RNA of Aethalodelphis obliquidens (Pacific white-sided dolphin), 1482 nucleotides long. RefSeq lists it as uncharacterized. The record is from RefSeq and is a predicted model, not a curated record. The transcript has 3 exons. NCBI's taxonomy places the organism in Eukaryota, Metazoa, Chordata, Mammalia, Artiodactyla, Delphinidae.
CUGCAGCGUCACCUGCAGGGCUGGCGUAUGCCGGGCUCUCAGUCUUACCGCUGCGGAAGUUCCGAAUUCGGUCCUUUUACCUGGAUGAAUAUCUUCCCCCUCCAGGUCAAAAAAGACUCCUUUAGGCUUCUCCAUUCCUUCAGCAAAUAUAUAGUGAAUUCCUAUUAUGCGCCUGGCAAUCUUUUGGGUCCUGGGGAUACAAAGAUGAACAAGGCAGCCUGUGCUAUUCUAUGAAGCAGACGGUGUUCUUAUGCUCAUUCAAAAACGGGGAAACCAAGCCUCAGAAAGACUCCAUGACUUGCCUAAAUCCACAGAGCUGGAAAAUAGCAAAGAUGGGAUUUGAACCCAAGAAGUCUGACUCUGGGAACUGGACAUUUUACCCCUGUGCUGGGGUGGAAGGGUGAGAGAAGUCUGUGAUGAUCUCCUAGGACUCAGGUUAACUAACUGGGAUUAGUGACUCCAUCAACACAGGUAGGAAAACUAGGUCAAAGGGCAGGCCUUUUGUUUUUGGGGUGGCAUGGCUAGUGUAAGUUACCGUUACUCCUAUGUUAAAACUCCCAGUUUAUCUCUAAGGGUAAUGUAAAGAUUGCUUCUUUUCUGUUUUCCUGCCUUCUUUAUUCUGCCUUUGUAGCAACUCUUAACUCUGAUUUUUAGAACGCAAUACACCAAACUCUUCCUAAAGAAAUAUAAAAGGAUAGGUGGAACACACCCAAAGAAGAUUCAAAAUCAGACAUGAAGCACUGAUAGCUUCAUAGCUUUGUCUGAUCUAUUUGGCCACCUUCCAUCCUUAGCAAUUGGAGUGGAUGGCUUGGGGGGUACAAUCUGGGGCUAAUGGGGGUUCAGACUCUAUCUAUGUGUCUGAUGCAAACUAUCUGGGUAGAGCCCAGGUGCUUCAUGUCCCCUGGUUACUUAGGUUCUUGGCGGCCUCACCUAUGAUUGGGAUAACUCCUGCCCCCUUCCUCCCGACCCGCAUCAAUCUUAUAGUCACUGGGUGCUCCGGGAUUAUCACAAAAUUUAACCAAGAACUUCUUCAGACAGUUCCUCUCCAUGGUUAAUGGGGAGCACCUUUUGAACAAGUUUCUUAUUCAUAGACUCACAAGCAAGAAAGCUGCCCACCCAGAAUCAGUCUCCCUGGACAGCAGGUGCGGCUUUUGAUACCACAUUAUUCUUGCUGGUUCUCUUCCCUGACCUCCCUCAUCCUGGACUAAGGCUGCUUUUGCCCCUUACGGCACAGUCACAGUUUGUUUUUCAUAUUCAAGGCCUGGUUUCUGAAAAUAUCAGAGGCUUGACUCACAAAAGAGAGACGGUUUUAGAAUCCUUUAUGAUCAUUUUCUAGACCAAAACACUGGGUUUCUAAGACACAGAAAAUGAGGACCAGCAAGAGUCUUCUUUGUUUUUUCUUUGCGGUACGCGGGCCUCUCACUGUCGCGGCCUCUCCCGUUGCAGAGCACAGGCUCCGGAUGCGCAGGCUCAGCGGCCAUG